RNAcentral lists this ribosomal RNA (739 nucleotides) under uncultured bacterium. RNAcentral describes it as "bacterial SSU rRNA". It matches the Rfam family "Bacterial small subunit ribosomal RNA", at positions 139 to 880 of the family's 1533-position model. The record is from RNAcentral.
GGGGAUAACACUGAGAAAUUGGUACUAAUACCCCAUAAUAUCAUAGAAGGCAUCUUUUAUGGUUGAAAAUUCCGAUGGUUAGAGAUGGGCAUGCGUUGUAUUAGCUAGUUGGUGGGGUAACGGCUCACCAAGGCGACGAUACAUAGGGGGACUGAGAGGUUAACCCCCCACACUGGUACUGAGACACGGACCAGACUCCUACGGGAGGCAGCAGUGAGGAAUAUUGGUCAAUGGACGCAAGUCUGAACCAGCCAUGCCGCGUGCAGGAUGACGGCUCUAUGAGUUGUAAACUGCUUUUGUACGAGGGUAAACGCAGAUACGUGUAUCUGUCUGAAAGUAUCGUACGAAUAAGGAUCGGCUAACUCCGUGCCAGCAGCCGCGGUAAUACGGAGGAUUCAAGCGUUAUCCGGAUUUAUUGGGUUUAAAGGGUGCGUAGGCGGUUUGAUAAGUUAGAGGUGAAAUUUCGGGGCUCAACCCUGAACGUGCCUCUAAUACUGUUGAGCUAGAGAGUAGUUGCGGUAGGCGGAAUGUAUGGUGUAGCGGUGAAAUGCUUAGAGAUCAUACAGAACACCGAUUGCGAAGGCAGCUUACCAAACUAUAUCUGACGUUGAGGCACGAAAGCGUGGGGAGCAAACAGGAUUAGAUACCCUGGUAGUCCACGCAGUAAACGAUGAUAACUCGUUGUCGGCGAUACACAGUCGGUGACUAAGCGAAAGCGAUAAGUUAUCCACCUGGGGAG